AUCCAGCUGACGAGUCCCAAAUAGGACGAAAAUUGCGUCCUGGAU
This is a non-coding RNA of Schistosoma rodhaini, 45 nucleotides long. The record is from Rfam. NCBI's taxonomy places the organism in Eukaryota, Metazoa, Platyhelminthes, Trematoda, Strigeidida, Schistosomatidae.